Molecule: long non-coding RNA, 265 nt
Organism: Oncorhynchus tshawytscha (Chinook salmon)
Lineage: Eukaryota; Metazoa; Chordata; Actinopteri; Salmoniformes; Salmonidae
Source: Ensembl
AUUGGAUGGGUGUAGGCAUUGGAAGGGUGUAGGCAUUGGAAGGGUGUAGGCAUUGGAAGGGUGUAGGCAUUGGAAGGGUGUAGGCAUUGGAAGGGUGUAGACAUUGGAAGGGUGUAGACUCGCUCUAGUGGAAGUUUUGACCAUAUUUCUUAUACCAGUCAUCAGGGCCAGCCUUACACUUUUGCAGUUUUGAAGCAAAUUGGAGACAGGACUUACUCAGAUGGCAUAUUAGCAUGGCGUAAGUAUCAUAUUAGCAUGGCGUAAG